RNAcentral lists this transfer RNA (69 nucleotides) under Pentacheles laevis. Its description in RNAcentral is "tRNA-Asn". The record is from RNAcentral. Lineage: Eukaryota; Metazoa; Arthropoda; Malacostraca; Decapoda; Polychelidae.
UUGACAGAAGCCAAAAAGAGGCUUAUUAUUGUUAAUAAUAACAUUGAAUACACCAUAUCUCCUGUCAAG